Long non-coding RNA from Alligator mississippiensis (American alligator), 5392 nucleotides. RefSeq lists it as uncharacterized. Lineage: Eukaryota; Metazoa; Chordata; Crocodylia; Alligatoridae. The transcript is spliced from 2 exons. The record is from RefSeq and is a predicted model, not a curated record.
CCCAAAUAUCUUCUUACUGCAACCUACUUCUCCAGCCUUCCAGUUUUGCUGUCAUGGUGCUUUGUCAUACAACUAAGCAAGAAGAAAGAAGUAGCUGCAGAACCACUGUGAGAAUUAAACUACCCUUUACUUACCCAUCAGAAAAGCUGAGGCAAAUGUAGCUGAAUCACCUGAAUGGCUUCAACUGUAACAUAACCAUGGGAAAACUGGCAGAGUCUGAGCAAAAAAUGGAAAGUCCUUGAGAGUGAAGGAGGAAAGCAAGAAGAUCCCCUAAAGACAAAGAACACUUUAAACUCUGUCACAUUUCUUCUGUGUGGUAUACAUUUUACAGAGGAUGGAGCGGAAAAAAAAACUUUGGCCUGUCUUGGUGCCCUAAGUCGUGAGUGUUUUGUGCCAUGUCAGAAUGGAUGAAAGAGCCCAGAUUUGUAAUUCUUAUGUACGUAAAUUCCAAGUCCAGUCAAAAGGAAUCUUGGACAUGUGAGGAAUAGGAUCGAGCUGUAUUCCAUUUAGUGCAUUUGAGCAUGGUAAAAAUGAAAUGUAAGUGACUUCAGUAUUUAUGACAUUUUCCACUUGCUUUUCUUACAGCUGAGAUGUACUGUUAUUAAUAAGAGGAUGAAAAAUUAAUUUAUCUCAGUGAACUGAUAGUGAAAUCUGAUGGACUCACAAGAGAUGGCUGUUUCCUUACCAUAAACACUGACUCCCAUUACUAAGGAAACUGCCACUAAUCAAAUGUGUUUCUGAAGUACUACUAAAGGAUUUGGCACUAAAUUUCAAGAUAAUGACUGUUAUGUGAGGCUUGAUAUAUUCUCAGUCUUUUUAUUUUAAUCUGGUAUCAUUUUAUUCUUUUCUUACUUACUGGAAAAUGUGUGGUAUUGGUUGUUGUGGAAUUUGGGAUAUAAAUGUGAAUGAAAAUGGUUUACAUAAAAUAUGAAUUUGCUUUUGGGGAGCAGGGUGAAGGGGAGAUUACCUCCUAAGUGAUCCGACUUCAUAAGAAAUAUUAUGGAAAUAAACAGUAUCUAUCCCAUCCUCUAUGCUCCCUCCACCCACAGUAAAAAAAUGUUGGUUGAAUCACAUAAAAAUCUCAAGACAAUUCCAAGAUGAACUGACUCUGAGAGUAAAUGACCUCUUCAUCUCGGUGAUAAAGUUCCAGCCAAAAUAUUCUCUCGGCCUGAGACGUGAUUCAUUAGAAAUAUGUGCAUGGUGUGGAGCUGUACUCUCUAUCUGGCAGAGUCCGGCCUGCAGACUGAUAAGAAGCAAAUGCAAAUGUCCUGAUAAGAACUGAAUGCAAAUAUUUAUGAUAUGAUAUUCCCUGGGAAUUAUGUGCAGAUAAAACAAAGUGUAUUAUUUUCCCGCUUCUCUUUCAGGUUUGCCAAAAUGCCCUUUUUCGCUUUCGGAAUUUGCAUUUCUUCAAAAUUGAUUCGGCUUGCGUAUUAUGUUAAGCUAUUUGUUUGCUAAGGAUGGUAAUUAGUUACUGUAAUUACAGCAAUGACAGUUGCUAAAUUGUUUUUAAAGCAUUACAGUGAGCCUGUGCCAGAAGAUUGCAGUAUUUUUUUGGAUUUAAGCAGAGGCUGGAAAAACUCCCACUCUAAGGCCAGCAUGGGAUUUUCAACUACAAAGCUGCUUUUCCUGAUUGAAAUAUUUUUUUUAAAAAAAGAAAUCAUUAAUUUGCAUUGAUUGUAAGGACUAACUUUAAAUUUUGGUUUAUUCACAGAUCACAGAAAUAUUAGUGAUAAUGGGCCCUGUGGGGAAAGAGAUACAAGGGGAACUCCCAUCGUAAAUAAAAGUGAAAGCUGAUAGCAGAGGAAAAAUGGUAUAACUGUUACUCUGAGCCUGUUAAUUAAACUCUUUAGCCUGUUUUUAGAUAAAUUAAAAACAAUUUAAAAUACCAGAUUGAAAGUCAUUCCCUAACUUUUUUAACGUGCCCACAACUAAAUGAAAAAUUUGGAAAAUACUACCAACUCCUUACCGUACUGCUCUCUGACUUGGUUCAGAGUAGAAGAGGGAAAGGAAGAGCUUUUCCAAAUACCUUCACAAACUUACUUAGAAAGGUUUCCCUAUUUUAGCCUGAAAUACACAGCAGGUUUUUGUCAUUCUUGCUUAUAGAUUAACACCAGAUACUUUGCAAUGUCUGGGUGAACGUCUGGCACUAAACCCAGAAAGCUCCAAGUUUCAUCCUUUACCCCUUUCCCUCCAGCAUUUCCUCCAAUGGAGGUACUGUCACAGCAGGAAGAGCAGGCAGCUCAGCAGUGGAAGAGCCCCAGGCAUCUUAGCAUGAGCUCUUCCUCUUCCAAGACAUGUGGUCUCGGGAGAUUAGCCAGUGUGUGUGUGGGAACCCUAAGGCUUUCACCCAUCUCUUCAUUCUGUUCCUCCUUCCACCGCACCCCCGUAUAAUCUCAUUCCCCACAGUUUACAGGAAUGGACAUACUAUUACUCCCUGCACUUUUCCUCCUGCAGAGAAAAAGCUGUCUCCUUUAAGACUAUAGUUUUGCUUUGUAACUGCAGCCACCAACUUGCCACCUUCAUCGUUCCUCCUGGCUUUCCAUAAAGUCCUGUAACUUAGGAAUUUUCCUCAGGAUUGCUCCCAACCCUAGUAACCUUCCUCACUUGAAUACAUAUAAAACUUGCUUACAGAUUCUGUGUCCAGAUCAAUUUCUCUUCUUCAUUCACUCACAAAAAAUAAUCAAAUAAUCAAAUAUUAUGCCAAAACCCCUAUGUUUCCCUAUAUUCUAUCAUUCCCUAAAAAACUUCCCUUUGUCCCCUUCUACAUCAUCAUCACUGCCUCACUGCUGCUGACAGUAGCUGUUAAUAUAUUCUACCCUGCACACAUUAUUGUAUAUGUGUGUACCCUGAGCAUAUAUAUCUAUUGAACAGUCUGUAAUUCUUUUUAGGUGGACAACAUAUGACCCAUGAUUUGCACACAGACUUUUCUGUAUUGAUAAAUUAUCAGAAAAUAUUUUUUUUUCUAAAUUACAUAGUGUACUACUCAAUGGGCACAUCUACACAUGCACAUUUACUGUGUAGUAACUGAAAUGACUGUGCAGUAACCAAAAAUUACCGUGCAGUACGGGUGACUUAUGCCAACAUGGGAGUAAAGUAUGGGUAAAGUACAACAAAAAUCACUGUGGAGUAUGGGUAGCAGAAAAUUACCAUGCAGUACUGUGCAGUACAGGUAACUUAUGCUGACUUGGGUAUAAAUUUGAGACGUGCAUCAUGCAGGUAUCAAAUUUAUGCCUGAUUAGUUACUGCACAGUAAUGCACAUACUUACUGCCUUACUUCUCAGUAACACUGUGUGCGCGCACUGAUUUGGGACUAACUGUAGUCCCAAGUCAGUCCACACGCAGUGUUACUGAGCUUUAAUACCUGCAUGUGUGCAGCUUAAACACCAUUUAAACUUGCUUACUGCACAGUAAAUUUAUGUGCGGUAAAUACACAUGUAGAUGCACCCAAUACUAAUUAAAACGCCAGUUUAAAACUAAUUAAUUAAAGCUAAUUAAACUCCAGUUUAAAGACAUUCUCAGUUGGCCAACCAGAAGUCUAAUUAUUGUCUGGAGACUUCAGGACACUCCAUCAUUGCUUCAUCAUUGUAUCACUUACAAAUAAUUCCAUAUUCUGAGGCUUUGGAACAGCCCCAUCAUUCGUUGGAAAACUGGGGUGCUUCUUUAUUACACUUGUAACUAAAGCUCAGAAGAACUGGAAGUCCCUUCAAACCACAGGAUCACAGAGAAAUCUUUUUCACUGGGAGAAUAGCAAACUAACAGUAGUUACAAGAAACACAUGGUGUGACAUUUUGAGGUUACUUUCCUAUGCUACAUAUAAACUUACAAUAGCAGAUUUUGACUGAGCAGCACUAGAUCAAAGAACAACUUCAAGGAGCAUAAGUUAAGAUUCAAAUAUCAGCUAAGUUAUUGCUUAGUUACAGAAAGAAAAACAUCUCUCCACAAGUGAGAGAUUUUUCUUGUCCUAAGUUUCAAAGGCUUGCUACUUACUACAAAGGUUUUGGGGCUGAUAUUUUGAUUAUGUACAUUCUGAAACUCUUCCCAGUGAUUUACUACCAGGACCCAACACAGGCAUAGAAAACAUAUCAGGGCAUGAAGAACCUGAUUGUCAACAAAGGCACUGUGCAGGUGUGUGGUUAUAGGGUUUCUGGCAAAGGGCAAAAGUAUGCUCUUAUGUUUAAUUUGGAGGUCAUACUUUAUAUGAAGUUUCCAUUUAAAAAUUCUUAGUAAGCAAUUAAAGGGUAUUAUAACUGUUUUUCAUAUGUGACUAGUAUGUGCAAGAGAUGGUUAUCAACACAUCUGCAGAUGUUAUCUAAUCUUAUCAGCCACGGACUUAAACAACCUAAUUCCCUAUUUGAUUUUAAACAAUACAUAACAUUUGAUUACUAUUUAAAACAUUAAAAACUAUUUAUAAAUGGAGCCAUAAAAUAAAAUUUUAACCAAUUUAAGAGUGAGAAUCUUGUAGUUUUCUCAUUAUUAUUGGCAAAAAUGCCAUCUCUUGAAUUAACUGAGGACUAAUAGCUGAUGAAUUUCAUUUAUGUGUAUAUAACUUACCGGGUAAUAAUUGUAUUUUCACUUAUUAAGAAAGUGUACAGAGUUUGGUAUGGGCAUUUGUUCCCCAUCUAAAGCAUCAAAUAUAAAUAAACAAUUGGAUUUACAUAUAGAACUGAUUGAUUUACAAAACAGAAUGAGAGGGGCAUCUAUCUAGCCACAUCUUUGUAAGAGCACGUGCUUUUCACACUUGUUUACAAUAUUAUACACAUACACACACGAUACUUAUGUGCAUAAAUGCACAAUGUGUAACUUAAUAUCAGAUCCACAGUGAUACAAAGAUAUGUCAUAUGCAAAUUAACUCAGAGACAACCACUUCAAGGUAUAAAGGAAGCUGUAAUCCAGAUGGUUUCUAUGUUGCUAGUCCAAAUAUGAUAGAAUAAAAAUUGCAGUCUAAAAGGCCUUAAGUUAUUUAACAGGUGGCAUUCUUCAGUCCUGAGCCAGGGAUACCAACUCUUAUGAGUCUAUCACAAAUAUGGUAUUUGAUGUUUUUCUUAAAGCACAACAUUCUGUUAGAAAAAAAAAAAAAGAAUUUCUAGACCAUAGCAAUGCUGGGCAAAGCUUGAAAAUGUGACCCAAGAGCAACUUGAAGACUCAGGCACUGGAAGACAAAGACAAAAAAACUUAAAUGUGUUAUCUUUGUUAAAUUGUAUGAUUGUUAAAAAUAAUACCAAGGUUAUUAGGUUUUCUUUAUUUUUUUGAUUGCUUGGGGUUGGGAAUACUAUGAAUCAUUUCAACAGCAUGCUAUUAGGGGACGCUGGACAAAGUAACAAGCACUGAACUUUACAAUACUGUUAAGGGAAAGUUUGCUCUGGCUGGAUGAUAAAUUAAAUGAUUAGGCUUA